RNAcentral lists this non-coding RNA (114 nucleotides) under Frigidibacter mobilis. Lineage: Bacteria; Pseudomonadati; Pseudomonadota; Alphaproteobacteria; Rhodobacterales; Paracoccaceae. The record is from RNAcentral.
CCCGCUUGUAGCGUUGCCGGGUUGAUGAUCAAGAGGAAGCCGGUGAAAUUCCGGCACGGUCGCGCCGCUGUGUUCGCUUGCGAAAGUCAGCCCUUCUCUCAUCAGACAAACCUU